RNAcentral lists this ribosomal RNA (497 nucleotides) under uncultured bacterium. RNAcentral's name for it is "partial 16S ribosomal RNA". It matches the Rfam family "Bacterial small subunit ribosomal RNA", at positions 28 to 507 of the family's 1533-position model. The record is from RNAcentral.
GAUGAACGCUGGCGGCGUGCCUAAUACAUGCAAGUCGAGCGAACAGAUAAGGAGCUUGCUCCUUUGACGUUAGCGGCGGACGGGUGAGUAACACGUGGGUAACCUACCUAUAAGACUGGGAUAACUUCGGGAAACCGGAGCUAAUACCGGAUAGUAUUUCGAACCGCAUGGUUCGAUAGUGAAAGAUGGUUUUGCUAUCACUUAUAGAUGGACCCGCGCCGUAUUAGCUAGUUGGUAAGGUAACGGCUUACCAAGGCGACGAUACGUAGCCGACCUGAGAGGGUGAUCGGCCACACUGGAACUGAGACACGGUCCAGACUCCUACGGGAGGCAGCAGUAGGGAAUCUUCCGCAAUGGGCGAAAGCCUGACGGAGCAACGCCGCGUGAGUGAUGAAGGUCUUCGGAUCGUAAAACUCUGUUAUUAGGGAAGAACAUACGUGUAAGUAACUGUGCACGUCUUGACGGUACCUAAUCAGAAAGCCACGGCUAACUACGUG